Molecule: ribosomal RNA, 520 nt
Filed under: Formostenus nigrus
Lineage: Eukaryota; Metazoa; Arthropoda; Insecta; Hymenoptera; Ichneumonidae
Description: partial 16S large subunit ribosomal RNA
Rfam family: Archaeal large subunit ribosomal RNA (bases 390-520)
Source: RNAcentral
AAACAUGUCUUUUUGAUAUUAAUAAAAAGUCUAAUCUGCUCCAUGAAUCAUAUUAAAUAGCUGCAGAAUUUUAACUGUACAAAGGUAGCAUAAUCAAUAGCUUUUUAAUUGAAAGCUGGAAUGAAAGAUUUAAUAAAGUAAAUACUGUCUUUAUUUUAAUAAAAUUAUAAUUUUUAUUUUAGUAAAAAUACUAAAUUGAUUUUAAAAGACGAGAAGACCCUAUAGAUUUUUAUAUUAUAAAUUAAUAAAAUUUAAAUUAAUAAUAAUAAUUAAUUAAAAAAUAUUGAGUUGGGGUAACUAUUAAAUUAAAAAAAUUUUAAUAUUGUAUAAACAAUAAUUAUUGAGUGAAAGAAUUUAAAAUAAAAUAAAAUAGAUUAAAAUACCUUAGGGAUAACAGCGUAAUUUUUUUGAAGAGAUCAUAUUGAUAAAAAAGUUUGCGACCUCGAUGUUGAAUUAAGAUAAAAUUUUAAUGAAGAAGUUAAAAUAUUUUGGUCUGUUCGACCAUUGAAAUCUUACGUGA